AUAUCACAAGAAUCGAUGUCUUAGGAAUUAGAGGUGUAUUAGAAAACAUCAUAAUUGGCAUGACUGACACUCAGGCCUGGAAGGAUAAAGCAUUUCAAUUUAUUUUGACUUCUUAAGAUUGCUGAGACUGCAAUUCCUGGACCCUGUCUACUCCUGGUCAGUUUUACAUGGCCAAAAUGUAACAGAAUGAUUUUAUUCCUUAGCUUUAUCUUAUUUGCGCUCUAAUAUAUAACCAGCCUUUGAAUUAUGUUUCCCUAAAAAAAACAACUGUUUUAUAUUAGGAUGAUUAAACUUAGGCCAUCUGAUAUUCCCAAAACCCCAAUAAAGGAACAAACUGGAAACUGCAUAAAAUAAUGCAGGUAAAAUAACCUUCAGAAUGGCCAGAAUCAAUUCAAGCUUCAGCCUUUUGAUGACUUCACAGAUGAAUAACAAUGUGGUAGGUUUUACUAAAAAACAACAACAAAAAAGAAGACGAAGAGGAUGAAGAAGAAGAAGAAACAGGCUUUUCCUAUUCUUCCACCCCUUUGCAGUAAGUACUUCAUUUAAAAAAGUAAAGAAUUAUUUUAUGGCCUUGAUGUUGUCAGAGACACUAAAUUUUCUACACAAACAAAAUCGGAUGACUCUGCUUGAAAAAAAUUCUUUCCUAUUAAUAUUAUGAGAUGUUUAAAAAAAAAAAAAAAAGGCAUCUGGACAGUUCAUUUGAAUGGCCACAAGAGAGCAGUAAGAAAUUAAAGCUUAGGAAGAUGACUCAUAGUCACACUUUAUAUGUAUGUGUUCUGCUAUUAGGAAGAAUUGAAAGACAGACUUAUUUCUAUUUGUUCUUGAGUUUAGAAAUAUAGUUUAGAAUUUCUUAAUUUUUAAAACGGCUUUAGGAAGGGCAAUAUUGAUAGCAUUAGCUGGAAUUACUGAAAAAAACCUUAAGUUAAGACUUUUACAAACCUCAAGUUCAGGUGUGAAAAUAGAAGAAAGUACCUCCUCUGGGCAAAGGGACAUCUUGAGCAGUCAUCCGGCCCAUCCCUUCGGAUUAUUCAAGCCUGACAGAAAGGUAUGUAACUCAUUUACAGAGGCCCUCAGAAGAAGAACCCAGCAUCCUGUUCUAGAACAUGGCCAACACUUUAAAAUGUUAAGUAUGAGGAAAUAUAUUUUUAUGUGUAAUUUUAUCCCCUUGUGUUGUAAUUUAGCUACUAUUUUAAAUAAUACCUAGGGAGACCUUGGGUCUUUCCCCCGAGGCCCUUCUUUUUUUCUUUAGAUGCCCUGCCCUUCUCUGCCCAUACAAACAUUGCCACUUUUUACUUGGAGUUUUGGAUGCCAUGAAUUUUAAAAAUGAAUUUAAAAAUUCUGUAUUUGCAAAAUGAUCAGAGCUAGCUCCAGUAUACGGCACACUCUUAGGAAUCAGUCUGAGAAAAAUAUUAAUGAUGAGUAGAAGAAUAGACAAAGGAUGUAAACAGGCAAUUUGCAAAGGUAGAAUCUCAGCUAGUUAAUAAAUAUAUGAAAAAAAUUAUUCACGCUGGACAGGAAACAAAAGAAUGUAAACUAAAUUGGGAUACUUUUAUAUUACUAGAUAAGCAAGAUUUAAAAGAAUUAUAAUGUCCAAUGUUAGCAAGAGAGGACAGCCACUCAUAAACACCGAGGCAUUUGUUGGAAAAACUUUCCUGAGGGCUGUUUGGAAAUAUAUAUCAAAAACUUGAAAAUUACAAAUUUUCUCUGACCUAGCAAUUUUGCUAUUAGAAACUUAUUAUUCUUCCUAUAAAAAGAAUCAAUUACAAGUACAGUUUCCAAUAGUGAAAAGAAUUGGGAAAACAAAAAUAAAUUAUUUCAAAAGGAGAAUAGGUUAAUUAAAUCAGGGCAUAGCCAUACAAAUAGAUUAUUAUUCAAAUCAUUAAAACUACUACAAAUAUGUAUUUACUGGCAUUGAAAGCCAUUGAUAUAUUUUAAGUUAAAAUAAGAUUGGAAACAGCAUUGUAUGAUUUCACAUAGGAAGAAAUCGUGAGUGACUACAGAGAAAAAUGGCUGGAUGAUAAUACACCAAAUAAUAAUUAUCUGUGGGUAAUGGUUGCACAGAUGAUUUUUUUUCCUUUCUUCUAUAGAACUUAUUGUAGCCUCUACAUCUGCAUUUUUCAUCAAUGAUACAACUUACUUAUAAAAUUUGUAAACACACACAAAAAGCUACUUCUAUACCUGAAAAAAAAAAGUCCUUAGAAAAACCUUAAAAGUUGAUUUGGUGAAUUUAUAAGAAGCUUGAAGUUUAGCUUUCACCUAGCAAGUUUCUAUGAGAACACAGAUUAAUAAAAUAUGAUCUGUGGUUAUCUACAUUUUCUUAAUACAGUAAUGUGAAAGAAAACUACACAAUAAGCCAUAAGGUUAUAUAUAGCCAUAUGCUAAUAUAACUAAAUAAAAAUUUAAAAACAAACGUUCAAAUGGUUGAUUAACUUAUUGUAAAUAGCAUUGCUUUUUAAGAGGAAAACAAAUUAUCCUCACCUCUUUGCACCCAUGAGCAACCAGUGACCUGACAUCCAACCUAUUUUAUAUUUCUAGGUGUUCUAAAUGAUCAUAUUUUCAUUGAUUUUCAGGCCCAUGUUCAAACUACAAUUAAAAUAAUAAUAUGUAUUUCAAAGGGGCUUUUACUGAAUUCGGCUUCCGAGUAGCUAAAGAAUUCCUCUGUAAGGAUAACUUUUCAAUUACUGCAGAUCGGAAAAGAAUACUAUGUUUCCUACUAUAUUAACAGUUCUUCAUUUUUCAACCAAGUUCAAAUUAUGACUUCAGAAUUAUCAACUGUCGAAUAUCUCUUAUGACCCUAGUACUGGAUUAGACCUCUGAACAAACUGCAAGAUAAAUAUCUUCAAUUUAAGAUGGUGAGCAGGCUCAGAGAGGCUCCAUACUGUGAAUGGGUGAAUGGCAUAGUGGAAGUAGGAGGGUAACCUUUGCACUUUUGGGGCCCCCAACUUUGCAUUUUUGUUUGUUUGUUUGACAUGGAAGGGAUCCUUUUUCCAAUUGUUUAUUCUUUUUUUUUUUUUUUUUUUUCUGUCUUUUUAGGGCCACACCUUAGGCACUUGGAAGUUCCCAAGCUAGGGGUCAAAUCAGAGCUGCAGCUGCCAGCCUACAACACGGCUACAAAAAUGCCAGAUCCGAGCUGCUUCUGUGAAAUACAUGGCUGCUCAUAGCAAUGAAGGUUCCUUAACCCACUGACUGAGGCCAGGGAUCGAACUGGUAUCUUCAUGGAUACUAGCCGGGUUCUUAACCCACUGAGCCACAAUGGGAACUCCUGUUUAUUCUUUUCUUCACAGUGUAUAGUAUUUUCUCAGCCUUUCGAGGCCCAUUUUCUUCCUUCUACCACUGAAUCCUACCACUGAACCUUUCCAG
RNAcentral lists this long non-coding RNA (3360 nucleotides) under Sus scrofa (pig). RNAcentral describes it as "lncRNA (ENSSSCG00000063169.1)". Lineage: Eukaryota; Metazoa; Chordata; Mammalia; Artiodactyla; Suidae. The record is from RNAcentral.